AAUUGACGGAAGGGCACCACCAGGAGUGGAGCCUGCGGCUUAAUUUGACUCAACACGGGGAAACUCACCAGGUCCAGACACAAUAAGGAUUGACAGAUUGAUAGCUCUUUCUUGAUUUUGUGGGUGGUGGUGCAUGGCCGUUCUUAGUUGGUGGAGUGAUUUGUCUGCUUAAUUGCGAUAACGAACGAGACCUUGACCUACUAAAUAGCUCUACUUGCGAUUGCAGGUAGCUAGCUUCUUAGAGGGACUAUCUAUUAC
This 258-nucleotide ribosomal RNA is filed under the name Yarrowia sp. RNAcentral describes it as "partial small subunit ribosomal RNA". It matches the Rfam family "Eukaryotic small subunit ribosomal RNA", at positions 1151 to 1430 of the family's 1831-position model. Lineage: Eukaryota; Fungi; Ascomycota; Dipodascomycetes; Dipodascales. The record is from RNAcentral.